Molecule: ribosomal RNA, 254 nt
Filed under: uncultured bacterium
Lineage: Bacteria
Description: partial 16S ribosomal RNA
Rfam family: Bacterial small subunit ribosomal RNA
Source: RNAcentral
UACGUAGGCAGCAAGCGUUGUUCGGAAUUACUGGGCGUAAAGAGUGUGUAGGCGGUGCUCCAAGUCUGGUGUGAAAUCUCCCGGCUCAACUGGGGAGGGUGCGCUAGAAACUGGAAUGCUAGAGGAUGGGAGAGGUAAGCGGAAUUCCUGGUGUAGCGGUGAAAUGCGCAGAUAUCAGGAAGAACACCUAUGGCGAAGGCAGCUCUCUGGGACGGUACUGACGCUGAGACGCGAAAGCGUGGGGAGCGAACAGG